UGUGUGUAACAGCCACAUAUAUAGGAGGCCAUACUCAGAAGGAAACACUGCACCUGCCAUAAGUCAUCUAAAGAUGGACCAGACAGUAAUGCAGCAUCUAUAGGUGCUUAAGCAGGUGUCUGAUUUGGAAUCACGGCUGUAUACCAGGGCAGGACUCUGUAGCAUCCUUGACUAAUGUUACAGACACAAUGGUGGCAAAAGACACAUGUACGCUCAUGGCUGCGUCCGACUCAGAAUCAGCCCCAUUAUCUCUUAGGAUGUACUGGAAACUCAAUGCCGCUCUGAAAUGUCUUGGGACUGCGGACCAAAUUUAAAGCAACAAGCUCUUGUUUAGACUGCAGAGAAGAGAGAAGCAAGGGAGCAAGUCACAAUGAAAACAUGAGCCGAAGGAUCUCACAUUCACGCAAGCUGCAUGAAUAAAGGUCGGGCAACAGGAAGAGAAGGGGAAAAAACAGACAUUUUAAGUACAUUAAUAUAUCAAUACAUCUAAAACCCAAUGAAGCCCCAUUUCCCUAUAAAGUAACUUACUCAUAAAA
Molecule: long non-coding RNA, 536 nt
Organism: Pseudophryne corroboree (corroboree frog)
Lineage: Eukaryota; Metazoa; Chordata; Amphibia; Anura; Myobatrachidae
Exons: 3
Source: RefSeq, a predicted model, not a curated record